CGGCAGGCCUACACAUGCACCUCGAGCGGUAGCACAGAGAGCUUGCUCUCGGGUGACGAGCGGCGGACGGGUGAGUAAUGUCUGGGAAACUGCCUGAUGGAGGGGGAUAACUACUGGAAACGGUAGCUAAUACCGCAUAACGUCGCAAGACCAAAGUGGGGGACCUUCGGGCCUCAUGCCAUCAGAUGUGCCCAGAUGGGAUUAGCUGGUAGGUGGGGUAACGGCUCACCUAGGCGACGAUCCCUAGCUGGUCUGAGAGGAUGACCAGCCACACUGGAACUGAGACACGGUCCAGACUCCUACGGGAGGCAGCAGUGGGGAAUAUUGCACAAUGGGCGCAAGCCUGAUGCAGCCAUGCCGCGUGUGUGAAGAAGGCCUUCGGGUUGUAAAGCACUUUCAGCGGGGAGGAAGGCGGUGAGGUUAAUAACCUCACCGAUUGACGUUACCCGCAGAAGAAGCACCGGCUAACUCCGUGCCAGCAGCCGCGGUAAUACGGAGGGUGCAAGCGUUAAUCGGAAUUACUGGGCGUAAAGCGCACGCAGGCGGUCUGUCAAGUCGGAUGUGAAAUCCCCGGGCUCAACCUGGGAACUGCAUUCGAAACUGGCAGGCUAGAGUCUUGUAGAGGGGGGUAGAAUUCCAGGUGUAGCGGUGAAAUGCGUAGAGAUCUGGAGGAAUACCGGUGGCGAAGGCGGCCCCCUGGACAAAGACUGACGCUUCAGGUGCGAAAGCGUGG
This 733-nucleotide ribosomal RNA is filed under the name Klebsiella sp. ICBR 046. Its description in RNAcentral is "bacterial SSU rRNA". It matches the Rfam family "Bacterial small subunit ribosomal RNA", at positions 40 to 764 of the family's 1533-position model. The record is from RNAcentral. Lineage: Bacteria; Pseudomonadati; Pseudomonadota; Gammaproteobacteria; Enterobacterales; Enterobacteriaceae.